GAAUAGACCAGGAACUAGGUUGCUAUGGCUUUUCACAGCCCUUAUGUUCUCUCUAGUCAUGGCUGCAGGUAGGUAUCUUUAGUCUUGGGACAGGGAGUAGAGAAGCUAGGUCAAGUUCACAGUAUAUUAUAGUUUCAGAAAGGAAAAAAAAAAGAUUCUUGAUUGUCAACGUAUCUGCAUUUGGAGUUGAGUGAUUUUGGCCACAGACCCUAGCUGAAGACAGAGAAGCCACACAUUUUCAUUCCAGUCCAGUCACCCACUGGCAGGUUCACUGAAGAGUUAAGUGUUCUGAGCAAAAGCAGCCUUGCAGAUCCUGGAAAGUAACGUGGGCUAAUGGGGUCAUAACCAUCCGAUGUGCCAUCCCUGCGAAGCCAGGGGGAGAUCAAGAAGUAUUCUAAGCUACACAGUAAAAGCAAAUGCUCACUGUUGGGAUAUUGUAUCAACUGGCUAUGAAGAAACCCUCAGAGGGCGUCAGCUUGCCUGUACACCGUGGGCGAGCAGAAAGUAUGCAGACACCUGCAGCCGGCUCAUGGGCGGAGCCUGCUAAUGAGCAUCUCCUGCUGACUGACUAGGAGGGAGGUGCUCACUCCAGGCCUCUGGCCAGGAGCCUUCUCUUUGAGGCUUGUCAGAGAGCCAGUGCCACGGGCUUCAGGUUCACCUCAAUGGAAACAGACACCGGAGCCACAACCCAGGCCACGCAUCUCUCGAAA
This 710-nucleotide long non-coding RNA is filed under the name Rattus norvegicus (Norway rat). RNAcentral describes it as "long non-coding RNA NONRATT011025". The record is from RNAcentral. Lineage: Eukaryota; Metazoa; Chordata; Mammalia; Rodentia; Muridae.